Molecule: ribosomal RNA, 497 nt
Filed under: uncultured bacterium
Lineage: Bacteria
Description: partial 16S ribosomal RNA
Rfam family: Bacterial small subunit ribosomal RNA
Source: RNAcentral
GAUGAACGCUGGCGGCGUGCCUAAUACAUGCAAGUCGAGCGAACAGAUAAGGAGCUUGCUCCUUUGACGUUAGCGGCGGACGGGUGAGUAACACGUGGGUAACCUACCUAUAAGACUGGAAUAACUCCGGGAAACCGGGGCUAAUGCCGGAUAACAUUUAGAACCGCAUGGUUCUAAAGUGAAAGAUGGUUUUGCUAUCACUUAUAGAUGGACCCGCGCCGUAUUAGCUAGUUGGUAAGGUAACGGCUUACCAAGGCAACGAUACAUAGCCGACCUGAGAGGGUGAUCGGCCACACUGGAACUGAGACACGGUCCAGACUCCUACGGGAGGCAGCAGUAGGGAAUCUUCCGCAAUGGGCGAAAGCCUGACGGAGCAACGCCGCGUGAGUGAUGAAGGUCUUCGGAUCGUAAAACUCUGUUAUUAGGGAAGAACAAAUGUGUAAGUAACUGUGCACGCCUUGACGGUACCUAAUCAGAAAGCCACGGCUAACUACGUG